This 499-nucleotide ribosomal RNA is filed under the name uncultured bacterium. RNAcentral's name for it is "partial 16S ribosomal RNA". It matches the Rfam family "Bacterial small subunit ribosomal RNA", at positions 28 to 507 of the family's 1533-position model. The record is from RNAcentral.
GAUGAACGCUGGCGGCGUGCCUAACACAUGCAAGUCGAGCGAACAGACGGGAAUGCUUGGCUCCUCUGAGGUUAGCGUGGGGGGCGUGAGUAACACGUGUGUAACUUUCCUAUUAGACUGGGAUUACUUCGGGAAAACGUAGCCAAAACCGGCAAAUAUCUAGCUUGGCAUGACGCGAUAGUGACAGACGGUUCUGCUGUCACUUAUCGAUGGACGCGUGGUGUAUUAGCUAGUUGGCGGGGUAACGGCUCACCAAGGCGACGAUACGUAGCAGACCUGAGAGGGUGAUCAGCCACACUGGAACUGAGACACGGCCCAGACUCCUACGGGAGGCAGCAGUGGGGAAUCUUGCGCAAUGGACGAAAGUCUGACGCAGCAAUACCGCGUGAGUGAAGAAGGUUUUCGGAUCGUAAAGCUCUGUUGUAAGGAAAGAAAAAGAGCGUUUUAAACCGAACGUAUUUUGACGGUACCUAACGAAUAAGCAACGGCUAACUACGUG